UACAGAGGGUGCUAGCGUUAAUCGGAUUUACUGGGCGUAAAGCGUGCGUAGGCGGUUUGAUAAGUCGAUUGUGAAAGCCCUGGGCUCAACCUAGGAAUUGCGGUCGAUACUGUCAGACUAGAAAACGGUAGAGGGAGGCGGAACUCCAGGUGUAGCGGUGAAAUGCGUAGAUAUCUGGAAGAACACCGAUGGCGAAGGCAACCUCCUGGGCCUGUUUUGACGCUGAGGCACGAAAGCGUGGGUAGCAAACAGG
This 253-nucleotide ribosomal RNA is filed under the name uncultured bacterium. RNAcentral describes it as "partial 16S ribosomal RNA". It matches the Rfam family "Bacterial small subunit ribosomal RNA", at positions 524 to 776 of the family's 1533-position model. The record is from RNAcentral.